AGUGAACGCUGGCGGCAGGCCUAAUACAUGCAAGUCGAACGGCAGCACAGUGGAGCUUGCUCCAUGGGUGGCGAGUGGCGGACGGGUGAGGAAUGCAUGGGAAUCUGCCCAGUCGUGGGGGAUAACGUAGGGAAACUUACGCUAAUACCGCAUGCGCCCUUCGGGGGAAAGCCGGGGACCUUCGGGCCUGGCGCGAUUGGAUGAGCCCAUGUUCGAUUAGCUAGUUGGCGGGGUAAAGGCCCACCAAGGCGACGAUCGAUAGCUGGUCUGAGAGGAUGAUCAGCCACACUGGGACUGAGACACGGCCCAGACUCCUGCGGGAGGCAGCAGUAGGGAAUAUUGGACAAUGGGCGCAAGCCUGAUCCAGCCAUGCCGCGUGAGUGAAGAAGGCCCUCGGGUUGUAAAGCUCUUUUGUCCGGGAAGAAAAGCAUCGGGCUAAUACCUCGGUGUUCUGACGGUACCGGAAGAAUAAGCACCGGCUAACUUCGUG
This 490-nucleotide ribosomal RNA is filed under the name uncultured bacterium. Its description in RNAcentral is "partial 16S ribosomal RNA". It matches the Rfam family "Bacterial small subunit ribosomal RNA", at positions 29 to 507 of the family's 1533-position model. The record is from RNAcentral.